This is a long non-coding RNA of Solanum dulcamara, 664 nucleotides long. RefSeq lists it as uncharacterized. Lineage: Eukaryota; Viridiplantae; Streptophyta; Magnoliopsida; Solanales; Solanaceae. The transcript has 3 exons. The record is from RefSeq and is a predicted model, not a curated record.
GACAUUGCUAUUGCUGCAUUUGAGUAGCAUAGUGUAGAAAAGGAUGUAGCAGAACAGAUUAAGAAGGACUUCAACAAGAAGUAUGACCCUACUUGGCAUUGCAUUGUUGGAAAAAACUUUGGUUCUUAUGUGACUCAUGAGACGAACCACUUUGUAUACUUCUAUUUGGAUUCAAAAGUUGCACUCCUAUUCAAAUCUGGUUGAGCUCGGUGGUGACAUUGAUGGGGAUGCGGAUGACGAUGAUGAUGUUACAAUGUUUGAAAAUUCCUAUCUACAAAGAUCUUGUGGAAAAUUCACAUACAUGUACAUUUUCUCUUACCUUCUGUAAGCAUUUUUGAUUCAUUCUUCCCUUGCUUCUUGCUAGCUCGAGUGGGAGAGAAAAUAUGACUUUAAUGAGUGGUAUGAAAAGACGUCCUUACUAUAAAAGAGUGGAGUGGGAUGUGUUUUUAUAGGAUUAUUAUAUCUUUUGUGUUUACGUUAACCCAAUAAAUAUUGUUAAAGUUUGAAUAUAGUUUACCCAACUACGUUGUUAAAUAUGUGUUCAGUCGACACAAUUUGACUAUAGGUUAGGUGGUCAAAUGGUUAUUGUCUUAGUUUAGGUGGUUCGAUAAAAUAUUCAGACAAGUUUUACGGGGCUAUUUAUGAAUUUGGCCUAUUAAUUGAC